UACGAAGGGGGCUAGCGUUGCUCGGAAUGACUGGGCGUAAAGGGCGCGUAGGCGGAUGGCACAGUCAGAUGUGAAAUUCCCGGGCUUAACCUGGGGGCUGCAUUUGAUACGUGUGACCUAGAGUGAGGAAGAGGGUCGUGGAAUUCCCAGUGUAGAGGUGAAAUUCGUAGAUAUUGGGAAGAACACCGGUGGCGAAGGCGGCGACCUGGUCCUUGACUGACGCUGAGGCGCGAAAGCGUGGGGAGCAAACAGG
This 253-nucleotide ribosomal RNA is filed under the name uncultured bacterium. Its description in RNAcentral is "partial 16S ribosomal RNA". It matches the Rfam family "Bacterial small subunit ribosomal RNA", at positions 524 to 776 of the family's 1533-position model. The record is from RNAcentral.